AGUGGCGGACGGGUGAGUAACGCGUGAGCAACCUGCCUUUCAGAGGGGGAUAACGUUUGGAAACAGACGCUAAUACCGCAUAAGAUAGUAGUAUCGCAUGGUACGGCUAUCAAAGGAGCAAUCCGCUGAGAGAUGGGCUCGCGUCCGAUUAGAUAGUUGGUGGGGUAACGGCCUACCAAGUCAGCGAUCGGUAGCCGGACUGAGAGGUUGAACGGCCACAUUGGGACUGAGACACGGCCCAGACUCCUACGGGAGGCAGCAGUGGGGGAUAUUGCACAAUGGGCGAAAGCCUGAUGCAGCAACGCCGCGUGAGGGAAGACGGUUUUCGGAUUGUAAACCUCUGUCUUUGGUGAAGAAACAAAUGACGGUAGCCAAGGAGGAAGCCACGGCUAACUACGUGCCAGCAGCCGCGGUAAUACGUAGGUGGCAAGCGUUGUCCGGAAUUACUGGGUGUAAAGGGAGCGCAGGCGGGGAGACAAGUCCGCUGUGAAAACUAUGGGCUUAACCCAUAGACGGCAGUGGAAACUGUAUCUCUUGAGUGGAGUAGAGGCAGGCGGAAUUCCGAGUGUAGCGGUGAAAUGCGUAGAUAUUCGGAGGAACACCAGUGGCGAAGGCGGCCUGCUGGGCUCUAACUGACGCUGAGGCUCGAAAGUGUGGGGAGCAAACAGGAUUAGAUACCCUGGUAGUCCACACUGUAAACGAUGAUUGCUAGGUGUGGGGGGUCUAACCCCUUCCGUGCCGGAGCUAACGCAAUAA
Molecule: ribosomal RNA, 756 nt
Filed under: uncultured bacterium
Lineage: Bacteria
Description: bacterial SSU rRNA
Rfam family: Bacterial small subunit ribosomal RNA
Source: RNAcentral